UUAGACUGGGAAUCAACGCCGGCUAGAGAGGCGAGAUGCGUUAGUCAUGGAUCGGUAGGGUGGUAGGUGUGUUUAGGCAUAUCUUCAUAUUUCUGCCAUGCCGAUACCAUUCUCAAAAUCGAACUUCGGCCAAGGCCUCGACCAUCAAUGGCACAUGAUGAUGCAUGGUGAUGGCACAUGCAUCGACCAUCAUCGGCAUAGGCUGCCCUUGGGUACGGGCACUUGCCUCGAUCGCCAUCGGCACAAGCUAGGCCCUGGUGUGGGUUGUUGCCUCGAUCACCAUCAUGU
Molecule: long non-coding RNA, 288 nt
Filed under: Durio zibethinus
Lineage: Eukaryota; Viridiplantae; Streptophyta; Magnoliopsida; Malvales; Malvaceae
Description: long non-coding RNA (DZIB_LNC000253)
Source: RNAcentral